GAAAUGCGAUAAGUAAUGUGAAUUGCAGAAUUCAGUGAAUCAUCGAAUCUUUGAACGCACAUUGCGCCCAUUAGUAUUCUAAUGGGCAUGCCUGUUCGAGCGUCAUUUCAACCCUCGAGCCUUAGUUGCUUGGUGUUGGGAGCUUAUCCUGCCGCAAGGCGGGACAACUCCUUAAAUUUAUUGGCGGAGUCGCGGUGACCCCAAGCGCAGUAAUUCCUUUUCUCGCUUUAGGUGUUAACGCUGGCUUCUAGCCAUUAAACCCCCUAAUUUUCUAAUGGUUGACCUCGGAUCAGGUAGGACUACCCGCUGAACUUAAGC
This 318-nucleotide unclassified non-coding RNA is filed under the name plant metagenome. Its description in RNAcentral is "partial contains 5.8S ribosomal RNA, internal transcribed spacer 2, and large subunit ribosomal RNA". The stretch from base 1 to 105 matches the Rfam family "5.8S ribosomal RNA", at positions 50 to 154 of the family's 154-position model. The record is from RNAcentral.